Long non-coding RNA from Entelurus aequoreus (snake pipefish), 2457 nucleotides. RefSeq lists it as uncharacterized. The transcript is spliced from 5 exons. NCBI's taxonomy places the organism in Eukaryota, Metazoa, Chordata, Actinopteri, Syngnathiformes, Syngnathidae. The record is from RefSeq and is a predicted model, not a curated record.
GCAGCUUCAAAAGCUCUGUCCCCCAUGGUCUUGAGUCGUGUCCUGGGUGUGUGCAGACGGUGCUGUUGGCCUGACCUGGCCCUGGCUGAGCUGUGUGGUGUGAGGAGGUCAGUGAGAGGUGGCUGGAGCCUAUCCCUGCUGCAUUUGGGCGGAAGGCAAGGUACAAAAUGACACCUCAUUGGCUGCUUUUGAGACAGGAUCGAUUGCUUCAGUCUUAAUUAAUGGAAGGCAGGAUAAACCAUCGAAGAAAUCCAUUCAGCCUUGGAGAGCAUGAUCCUUCCUUGAAAGAAUCAAAAGCUUUAAGACAUCUAAAAAAAGAAUGAGAGCUCCUUCAUCAAUGAGAUGUCAAACAACGGCACCUAUUUUAAGAAAACAGGUUAUCAUCUUGAGUCACAAGAUCAGCACUUCUCAGGACCAGCAGCUUCCUAGGAAGGUGGAAAGACCAUGAGACCAAAAUGGUAAGUUUGCAAAAUGUAGAAUUUGUGUGCCAGUUCCUCUGUGCAGAUUUGAGGAUGAAAGCAGCCACCCCAGAUUCCCUUGCACUUGCUAAGAGGGGCACGGUCAAAGCCAAGCCAGGACCAACACCCGAUACCUGACUGGAAGGAACCGAGAGGAGAGACAACACCUUGCCAGCGAUGACGAGAACAACUAAGGUUGCCAGCCAAUGUGUCCACCGGGACUCCAGCAGCUGUGGAAAGAAGUGUCGGGAGUGCCGAAGCAGCGAGGAGGCCUGAAGCAAGCCGAGGGCCUGGACCAAAGCCCCACGCCCCAUACUCUGCCCCAGCCUUCCCCAAAGCCCCCACAGCUCCAACUCUACCUGAGUUUUCCCCAAUUUCGGCCAGCACGCACAUGCCACUGAACAGUCUGCCCAAUGGACUGAACCACACCCCAAGAAGAGACAGAGACAGACUGUUUGAGUGGAUCUCUUUCUUCACCAAGGCAGCCAAAAGCCCAACGAGGUGUCGGCAGGCCACCAGCCUGAGGCACCACCGAGCCAUCUAUACGAGCACUAAUCGAACAUGGACUCAUACGAAAUUCAGUUGUGUGUUCAAAAUUAAUUGGUAAUUAACAAUAUUGGUAACUACAUCCAUUGCAAAUGCCGGGAAAAAUAUUUUUGCAAAUGUCUUACAGUCAUAAGUCUAUAUACAUUCAUCUAUUUAUGUUCAACGAUGUUCAUGAUAAAAGUAUUUGUUAUUCCUUUACUAAAUCAAAGGGUAGGCCACUAAUUGUGUUCUGUGAGAUGGUUUUACUGCAGGCUGGUAACAGCGAUCGCUCUGAAGGAGGGUCAUAGACGGAAUUUUUGCCUCGUAUAAAAACAUUGAGGUUUUUGCCUCUAUCUGUGGUAGAGAUUUAACUAGUGGUCUACAUCAGAAAUUGUUUUGGUCCAGGGUCUUACCCUGGAAGGAGGGUAUGUCGUAGAAUUUCUGACCUUUUGACCUAUAUUUCUUGUCUUUUAAGAAUGUCCGCUCAUUUUCAAUUCUCUUGUAUUUUGUGCCAUGGGACAAAAGUGAAUAUUAAGUCGUGCCAACCUGUCUACAGAAUGUGUUGACUGUCUAAAGGAUUCGAGUUGUUAUGGAACAGAUAGGAAAAACAACAAGACAUUGACGCAUUUAGAUAACAAACAAUGACGCACAACAGACACGUAAAAAAUGGCAGAAGACCGGAACUCGACAGUGAUUUUGGCUUGUGUGUGUCUUGUUUGCUCCGUAGUGACAUGUGGUCUGUCUGCACGGCCAACUCAAUUCAACCUGCACUUCUGAUAAUGGGUAAAUAAAUUUGUUGUACUAAACUACUUUUGUUGCCUGUUUAAGCUUCGGACAAUCCACUACAAAGGCCUACUGAAAUGAAUUUUUUUUAUUUAAACGGGGAUAGCAGAUCCAUUCUAUGUGUCAGACUUGAUCAUUUCGCGAUAUUGCCAUAUUUUUGCUGAAAGGAUUUAGUAGAGAAUAUCGACGAUAAAGUUCGCAACUUUUGGUCGCUGAUAAAAAAAGCCUUGCCUGUACUGGAAGUAGCGUGACGUCGCAGGUUGAAGGGCUCCUCACAUUUCCCCAUUGUUUACACCAGCAGCGAGAGCGAUUCGGACUGAGAAAGCGACGAUUACCCCAUUAAUUUGAGCGAGGAUGAAAGAUUCGUGGAUGAGGAACGUGAGAGUGAAGGACUAGAGUGCAGUGCAGGACGUAUCUUUUUUUCUCUCUGACCGUAACUUAGGUAAAAGGGCUCAUUGGAUUCCACACUUUCUCCAUUUUCUAUUGUGGAUCACGGAUUUGUAUUUUAAACCACCUCGGAUACUAUAUCCUCUUGAAAAUGAGAGGACAUUCACAGUGACUUUUAUCUCCACGACAAUACAUCGGUGAAGCACUUUAGCUAUGGAGCUAACGUGAUAGCAUCGUGCUUAAAUGCAGAUAGAAACAAAAGAAAUAAGCCCCUGACUGGAAGGAUAGACAGAAUAUCAACAAU